UUUAGGCAAACGCUGCUAGGAAUAGUAGAGGAAAGUCCAUGCUCACAAAAGCUGCGAUGCUUUUAGUGUUUGUGCUAAGGGAAAAAAUAACCUUAGGGAGAGUAAUCUUACGGCUUCGAAUAGACCUAAGUCUUUAGAUAUGGUCUUAGUAGAUAUAAAAGUGCCAUAGUGACGAUGCACAUUAGAAAUAGUGUGAGUGGAACGAGGUAAACCCCGCAAGUGAGAAACCCAAAUUAUGGUAGGGGAGCUUUAACAAGGGAACUGAACUUUAGUUAAGGAUCGAAAGAUAGAUAAAUGUUUGCCACCUUUUUAGGUACAGAACAUGGCUUAUU
Molecule: RNase P RNA, 332 nt
Filed under: human gut metagenome
Description: Bacterial RNase P class B
Rfam family: Bacterial RNase P class B
About the family: Ribonuclease P (RNase P) is a ubiquitous endoribonuclease, found in archaea, bacteria and eukarya as well as chloroplasts and mitochondria. Its best characterised activity is the generation of mature 5'-ends of tRNAs by cleaving the 5'-leader elements of precursor-tRNAs. Cellular RNase Ps are ribonucleoproteins.
Source: RNAcentral